UACGGAGGGUGCAAACGUUGCUCGGAAUCAUUGGGCGUAAAGCGCACGUAGGCGGGCCAUCAAGUCGGUUGUGAAAUCCCUCGGCUUAACCGAGGACGUGCAUUCGAAACUGAUGGCCUUGAGUACGAAAGAGGAUCGCGGAAUUCCCGGUGUAGAGGUGAAAUUCGUAGAUAUCGGGAGGAACACCAGUGGCGAAGGCGGCGAUCUGGGUCGAUACUGACGCUGAGGUGCGAAAGCGUGGGGAGCAAACAGG
RNAcentral lists this ribosomal RNA (253 nucleotides) under uncultured bacterium. RNAcentral's name for it is "partial 16S ribosomal RNA". It matches the Rfam family "Bacterial small subunit ribosomal RNA", at positions 524 to 776 of the family's 1533-position model. The record is from RNAcentral.